This 85-nucleotide transfer RNA is filed under the name Felis catus (domestic cat). It matches the Rfam family "tRNA". Rfam says of the family: Transfer RNA (tRNA) molecules are approximately 80 nucleotides in length. Their secondary structure includes four short double-helical elements and three loops (D, anti-codon, and T loops). The record is from Rfam by way of RNAcentral. Lineage: Eukaryota; Metazoa; Chordata; Mammalia; Carnivora; Felidae.
ACCUGGGUGGCUCAGUCAGUUGAGCACCUGACUUCAGCUCAGGUCAUGAUCUUGCAGUUUGUGAGUUCAAGCCCCAUGUCAGGCU